This 429-nucleotide ribosomal RNA is filed under the name Gemmatimonadota bacterium. Its description in RNAcentral is "Gemmatimonadetes bacterium partial 16S ribosomal RNA". It matches the Rfam family "Bacterial small subunit ribosomal RNA", at positions 355 to 776 of the family's 1533-position model. The record is from RNAcentral. Lineage: Bacteria; Pseudomonadati; Gemmatimonadota.
UAGGGAAUCUUCGGCAAUGGACGAAAGUCUGACCGAGCAACGCCGCGUGAGUGAAGAAGGUUUUCGGAUCGUAAAACUCUGUUGUUAGAGAAGAACAAGGACGUUAGUAACUGAACGUCCCCUGACGGUAUCUAACCAGAAAGCCACGGCUAACUACGUGCCAGCAGCCGCGGUAAUACGUAGGUGGCAAGCGUUGUCCGGAUUUAUUGGGCGUAAAGCGAGCGCAGGCGGUUUCUUAAGUCUGAUGUGAAAGCCCCCGGCUCAACCGGGAAGUGUCAUUGGAAACUGGGAGACUUGAGUGCAGAAGAGGAGAGUGGAAUUCCAUGUGUAGCGGUGAAAUGCGUAGAUAUAUGGAGGAACACCAGUGGCGAAGGCGGCUCUCUGGUCUGUAACUGACGCUGAGGCUCGAAAGCGUGGGGAGCAAACAGG